ACGUAGGGUGCGAGCGUUAAUCGGAAUUACUGGGCGUAAAGCGUGCGCAGGCGGUUUUGUAAGCCAGAUGUGAAAUCCCCGGGCUUAACCUGGGAAUGGCAUUUGGGACUGCAAGGCUGGAGUAUGGCAGAGGGGACUAGAAUUCCUGGUGUAGCAGUGAAAUGCGUAGAUAUCAGGAGGAAUACCGAUGGCGAAGGCAGGUCCCUGGGCUAAUACUGACGCUCAUGCACGAAAGCGUGGGGAGCAAACAGGAUUAGAUACCCUGGUAGUCCACGCCCUAAACUAUGUCGACUGGUUGUUGGGGGUUUGACACUCUCAGUAACGAAGCUAACGCGUGAAGUCGACCGCCUGGGGAGUACGGCCGCAAGGUUA
Molecule: ribosomal RNA, 372 nt
Filed under: uncultured bacterium
Lineage: Bacteria
Description: bacterial SSU rRNA
Rfam family: Bacterial small subunit ribosomal RNA
Source: RNAcentral